GACGAACGCUGGCGGCGUGCUUAACACAUGCAAGUCGAACGGAAAGGCCCUGCUUUUGUGGGGUGCUCGAGUGGCGAACGGGUGAGUAACACGUGAGUAACCUGCCCUUGACUUUGGGAUAAAUUCAGGAAACUGGGGCUAAUACCGGAUAGGAGCUCCUGCUGCAUGGUGGGGGUUGGAAAGUUUCGGCGGUUGGGGAUGGACUCGAGGCUUAUCAGCUUGUUGGUGGGGUAGUGGCUUACCAAGGCUUUGACGGGUAGCCGGCCUGAGAGGGUGACCGGCCACAGUGGGACUGAGAUACGGCCCAGACUCCUACGGGAGGCAGCAGUGGGGAAUAUUGCACAAUGGGCGGAAGCCUGAUGCAGCAACGCCGCGUGCGGGAUGACGGCCUUCGGGUUGUAAACCGCUUUCGCCUGUGACGAAGCGUGAGUGACGGUAAUGGGUAAAGAAGCACCGGCUAACUACGUG
RNAcentral lists this ribosomal RNA (468 nucleotides) under uncultured bacterium. RNAcentral's name for it is "partial 16S ribosomal RNA". It matches the Rfam family "Bacterial small subunit ribosomal RNA", at positions 28 to 507 of the family's 1533-position model. The record is from RNAcentral.